This 378-nucleotide unclassified non-coding RNA is filed under the name soil metagenome. RNAcentral's name for it is "partial contains 5.8S ribosomal RNA, internal transcribed spacer 2, and large subunit ribosomal RNA". The stretch from base 1 to 120 matches the Rfam family "5.8S ribosomal RNA", at positions 35 to 154 of the family's 154-position model. The record is from RNAcentral.
GAUGAAGAACGCAGCGAAGUGCGAUAAGUAAUGUGAAUUGCAGAAUUCCGUGAAUCAUCGAAUCUUUGAACGCAAAUUGCACUUUCUGGUAUUCCGGAGAGUAUGCCUGUUUGAGGGUCAGUGUAAUAAAUAAAUCGUGGUUGUUACCACCUUUCGUGGUGACGCUUCGGAAUUGAGUCCUCUUACCCUUCGGGUUAAGUGACUUAAAAUUUUUUCAUACGAUUUCGAACCGUAUUUAAUGUAUUAUGUACGUUCACGAAUAUCGAAUGUUUAUUAGGUGCGGUCAUUUUUCAUGAAUUCGCGUCUAUAAUUUUUUUUUUUUGACCUCAAAUCAGGUAAGAAUACCCGCUGAACUUAAGCAUAUCAAUAAGCGGAGGA